AAUGGAGGAAACUCUGAUGCAGCAACGCCGCGUGAGUGAUGAAGGUCUUCGGAUUGUAAAGCUCUGUCUUCUGGGACGAUAAUGGCGGUACCAGAGGAGGAAGCCACGGCUAACUACGUGCCAGCAGCCGCGGUAAUACGUAGGUGGCAAGCGUUGUCCGGAUUUACUGGGCGUAAAGGAUGUGUAGGCGGAUAUUUAAGUGAGAUGUGAAAUCCCCGGGCUAAACUUGGGGGCUGCAUUUCAAACUGGAUAUCUAGAGUGCAGGAGAGGAAAGCGGAAUUCCUAGUGUAGCGGUGAAAUGCGUAGAGAUUAGGAGGAACAUCAGUGGCGAAGGCGGCUUUCUGGACUGUAACUGACGCUGAGGCAUGAAAGCGUGGGGAGCAAA
Molecule: ribosomal RNA, 385 nt
Filed under: uncultured bacterium
Lineage: Bacteria
Description: bacterial SSU rRNA
Rfam family: Bacterial small subunit ribosomal RNA
Source: RNAcentral